AAAUCUCGUAAAAAGCCAGUGAACGCAGCGUCAUACGGGCACCCCCACCUCACUCCCCCGGAAACCCCCGGAUGAACCCGCAGGAAGGCGCGCGGCUGAAGAACUCUUGGACAGCUGGAAGGCCGCAGGAUCACGGUGAAGGCCUCUUCUGUAUAGAGGACGGGGGCGGAAACGUCACGUGGUCUCCGCAGAGACUGGUCAGUUAUUUGGAGACAACAUGUACAAAUAGUUCCUGGACUGAUCUUCUGCUAACUUUGAGAUGGAGAGGCUGUCAGGUUCAUCUGUUUCAGGGUCCUGCAUGCUCUCCCUCCAUGUUGGCUGUAGCAGUGGAUGGAACUUGCUAAAUGUACUGUUUUGAGAGCCAACUGGGCUCAGUGGUUAUUUGGAAGAUGCGUUUUUGACCAAAAACACUGUGGUGACCUCCUUUGUGAACUGCAUUCAUGGGGAAAUAGAAUAUAAUCCUGGAGAUGGGAGAUGUGGAGCAGGUAAGUUUGUGGCAGCACCAGAGUCCUCCAACAAGUUUUCUGGCAAAGUAAAUGAGGAAGGAUCGCAGUCUGCCAUCGUGGAGUUUUGCUGAAAGGCCUGAACACGUUCCAUCCAUGCAUCCAUCUUCUUCCAUUCAUCAGGAACCAGGUUGUGAGGGCAGCAGUCUAAGCAAAGAUGCCCACACUUCCCUCUCCUCCAGCUCCUCUUGGGGGACCCCGGGGCCAGCUGAGAGACGUAGUCUCCCCAGCGUGUCCUGGGUCUCCCUUAGGGCCUCUGCCCUUAUUCCUGUUGGAGUUUUUUUCUAACCCCUUAUGUUUCAAAAGUUUGCAAACAUACAUUUUGGUUGAAAUGAUGAGGAUCCGAGGAUGAAAUCAAGAAGGGACAACAUCAGGGAAAGGGACUGAACCGACUGAACAGCUUCCUCUCUUCAGCAGACACAUGUUCCGAGUACAUAUGUGUCAAAUAUUGACAUCCUCGCCGUUCAGGCCGGUGGCUGGAACAAGCGGAAGUCAGAAAAGCUGGAGCAGACGUUACCAGAAUGAUACCUCCAGGACCAAUCAAAAUGACCCAGAGAAAAACACUGAAGGGCUUUGUCUGAGCAUCAGGAAAACAAGAAUCAGCUGUCAUCAACAUAUGGUGGAUAAAGGUGGAAAGAUUUCAUGUAAUCCAUGGACACCAGUGAAGAUCACAAAUCAUUGAAGAAAAAAGGUUCAGAGCACUGUCUAGUGGGUCUAGAUGACCCAACUCCCAAUGGUUAUGGUGCCAUGGUAAAGAACUAAAGGCUCUAUGAUGUCAUGCUGCUGACCAGACUGUGGUUGGUGAAGUCCAGCAGCACUGCAGGUCCUUGAAGUGUGGUUGAAGAGCUCUCCUCCCAGCUUUUGGAAGGUUCUGCCCCACAAAGCAGCACAGAGUCAUUGAUGGAGAGAGAACAUGAGGGACUAAUUGUCUGCUGAGGAGGAGACUUUCUGCAGUUCAAGCCCCAGCUCCACCCCUAAAAAAAGGCUUAUAUAAAGGAAAACCUCAUUUCAACUUUGUACCAAUAAAUGACUUUUAAUUGAAA
Oryzias latipes (Japanese medaka) is the source of this 1546-nucleotide non-coding RNA. NCBI's taxonomy places the organism in Eukaryota, Metazoa, Chordata, Actinopteri, Beloniformes, Adrianichthyidae. The record is from RefSeq and is a predicted model, not a curated record.